GGGCUAAUAUGGUGUGAGCAAUCUCUCAUGUAUCCCUUGUAUCUCUCCCAAGCUUGGGGAAGGAAUUCAGCAUCUUUUUGAACAAAUCCAGAAUUCUUGCCUCUGAGCUC
Molecule: non-coding RNA, 110 nt
Organism: Capsicum annuum
Lineage: Eukaryota; Viridiplantae; Streptophyta; Magnoliopsida; Solanales; Solanaceae
Source: Rfam